RNAcentral lists this ribosomal RNA (253 nucleotides) under uncultured bacterium. RNAcentral describes it as "partial 16S ribosomal RNA". It matches the Rfam family "Bacterial small subunit ribosomal RNA", at positions 524 to 776 of the family's 1533-position model. The record is from RNAcentral.
UACGAAGGGGGCUAGCGUUGUUCGGAAUGACUGGGCGUAAAGCGCGCGUAGGCGGAUCGGAAAGUUGGGGGUGAAAUCCCGGGGCUCAACCCCGGAAUGGCCUUCAAGACUCCCGGUCUUGAGUUCGAGAGAGGUGAGUGGAAUUCCGAGUGUAGAGGUGAAAUUCGUAGAUAUUCGGAGGAACACCAGUGGCGAAGGCGGCUCACUGGCUCGACACUGACGCUGAGGCACGAAAGCGUGGGGAGCGAACAGG